CUUUGCAAGAAUAAAGACAAUUACACCUCCCGAAAGGCAGUGAGCUGACCUUUUUUUGUUAAGAACCCAUUGUAUAGUGUAGCAAUACUAUCAAUAAAAAUAUCGUCAGCGGCUACAUACCUCCCGCACUACCUAAUACCUGGUUUUCAUCCGCACCAGCUUUAGCUGACAAAGCUACUACUACUCGCUAGCUAGAAAAAUAAAUUAAGGAAAAGCUUUAUUUAAUACCUAUUUGAUCCCUUCACCUUUAUCUCCCCUGUAGGCUCGAAAUCAGCCACCAAUCCACCACGUUCUAGUAGUUUAUACAAGGAUAAUCCCAUCUGCCAAUUCUAUCAAAUGAAUAACUGCGUAAACCCCCCUCCGCAGUAAAACUAUGCAAAGAUUAGUAUUUCCCCCCCCAUAUUCAGAAAAGGAACUCGGCAAAACCUUAUUUCGACUGUUUAACAAAAACAUUGCCUGUAGACCCAACCACUAUAGGUAUACCCUGCCCAGUGAUAUAUUAAACGGCCGCGGUACCCUGACCGUGCAAAGGUAGCAUAAUCAUUUGCCUCCUAAUUAGAGGCUAGUAUGAACGGGUUAACGAAAAUAAAGCUGUCUCUUCAGUAUCCAUAAAACUUUUUCUCCAGGUGAAGAAACCUGGAUAUCUAUAAAAGACAAGAAGACCCUGCGAGCUUUAAUUCUAGUAGGCUAUGUCAGAACUUAUAGUACCAAACCACACCUACAACAACAUUUAUUGGGGCAAUAAUGGAGCACACAAAACCUCCUUCACACACAAGACAUCCCAUCUCUCUACAGAUCCCAUUCACGGACCAAAGGCACAAGCUACCGCAGGGAUAACAGACUAAUUUUCCUCCGGAGUCCAAAUCUACAGGAAAGCUUGGCACCUCGAUGUUGGCUUAAAGAUCUCUUUUAGAUGCAUCAGUCUAAAAAGUGGG
Molecule: ribosomal RNA, 935 nt
Filed under: Nicidion angeli
Lineage: Eukaryota; Metazoa; Annelida; Polychaeta; Eunicida; Eunicidae
Description: partial 16S ribosomal RNA
Rfam family: Archaeal large subunit ribosomal RNA
Source: RNAcentral